UGCCAGCCGCCGCGGUAAUACGGAGGGUGCAAGCGUUGUUCGGAAUUACUGGGCGUAAAGCGCACGUAGGCGGAUUAGUAAGUUAGGGGUGAAAUCCCGGGGCUCAACCCCGGAACUGCCUCUAAUACUGCUAGUCUUGAGUUCGAGAGAGGUGAGUGGAAUUCCGAGUGUAGAGGUGAAAUUCGUAGAUAUUCGGAGGAACACCAGCGGCGAAGGCGACUUCCUGGGCCAAUACUGACGCUGAGGUGCGAAAGCGUGGGGAGCAAACAGGAUUAGAUA
RNAcentral lists this ribosomal RNA (279 nucleotides) under uncultured bacterium. RNAcentral describes it as "partial 16S ribosomal RNA". It matches the Rfam family "Bacterial small subunit ribosomal RNA", at positions 506 to 784 of the family's 1533-position model. The record is from RNAcentral.